AGUGAACGCUGGCGGCAGGCCUAACACAUGCAAGUCGAGCGGCAGCGCGGGGCAACCUGGCGGCGAGCGGCGGACGGGUGAGGAAUACAUCGGAAUCUACCCAGUCGUGGGGGAUAACGUAGGGAAACUUACGCUAAUACCGCAUACGACCUGAGGGUGAAAGCAGGGGACCGCAAGGCCUUGCGCGAUUGGAUGAGCCG
This 200-nucleotide ribosomal RNA is filed under the name uncultured bacterium. Its description in RNAcentral is "partial 16S ribosomal RNA". It matches the Rfam family "Bacterial small subunit ribosomal RNA", at positions 29 to 232 of the family's 1533-position model. The record is from RNAcentral.